Papaver somniferum (opium poppy) is the source of this 3104-nucleotide long non-coding RNA. RefSeq lists it as uncharacterized. Lineage: Eukaryota; Viridiplantae; Streptophyta; Magnoliopsida; Ranunculales; Papaveraceae. The record is from RefSeq and is a predicted model, not a curated record. The transcript has 12 exons.
UCGACUUCUUUCUUCUCUUCUCCGCUCUCCGCUCAAAAGAAACAGAAAGAAUGAGUGAAAUCGAGAGAAACCAAAAAUCAAACCGAAACCAGAAAUUAAACCAAUAUUCUUCAACUGAUUUAUGAUUUUGUAAACCCAAAAACUCCCUAAUUUACAAAUAAAUUUUUUUGAUUUUGUAAACUGAUUUUUGCUUUUAGUUUGAAACUCUUAGAAGAAGAUUCAAUUGAAGAAGUAGAAACCCUAGAAAUCUCUAUCCUCAGAAGAUGAUUGAAGUAAAAUCCUUGAAGAUUCAGGUUCAAGAGUACAGACUACUACUUUGAUGAACCUGCUAUAAUGGACUUUGAGGCCAAGCAAGUUUUUUAUUCUCAAGAUUUGAAGAAUCCUGAUUGGUCUGUUGUGAUUCACUCACCAAUGGGCAUGACAAGACAUGUGGACGACUUGAUAAAUCCUGAUUUCAAAAAAAAUCAAUCUAUAAUUGUGCAUGAGCCCAACUUGGCUGUGUUACUGGUUCAACGGGUGUAAUUCGCUUCUGAUGUAGAAUGGCCUCAAAUCGAAGCAGUUCUGGUCUGUCUACGUCAACUACUACAUCAUCACAGCAAAAUGUAUCCAGCUCAUCAGCAAAAUCGAAGCUGAUUGUUCAAGUCAAUAUUGCUGGCAAGAUCGAGGAAAUGCGGCAGCAAGAUUCUCUACUAGGGUAGGAGAGCUCAUAAGGAGUCAUAUUCCUAUAUCAUAUAAGGAGUGGAGGUUGGUCCCUGACAAUAUUAAACACGAUGCGUGGAAUGCUUUGAUGGGUGAAUUUUCAUUGACUAUUGAUCCAUCAGUCUGAUGUGGAAUCAUUGAAGUGCAUUUCCACCGUAUUAUAGGCAAUUCAAAUACGAGUUAAGGCAGGCAUUAAAAUGGAUAAUAAAAGCUCUUAGACAAGCAGCUCUUAGAGUAAAACAAGCAGUAAGGGAGAGAGUUGAAAUACCUGAGGCUAAGGAGGAAGAUGAAGCACUUCCAGAACUCACUCUGAAAAUUUGGGAGAGUGUAAGAGCAGAUGUUCCACCAGGGAUUAAUCCAAAUAUCUAGGAGGAAUUUGUUGAUAUGGAGAAAUAUCCUGAAAAGAUAGCAAAGAAUAAGGUGAAUGCAGAAAGCAAGGAGCACUAUCCACCAUACACUCGGGAGGUGCACAUACCACAACAAGAAGCAUAAGAUAGACGAAAUGAGCGAAAAAGUGGUACCACCGCCGACUACAGAGAAGUGGUUAUAUGGACAUUUAAGACGUGACAGCAUUGUCCAUCCUAGUGCACUUGAAGUGCAUGGCAAAGUAUCAGGGGCUCUAGAGAGGAACGAAGGAAAAGAAGAUCAGCCAAGUUCUAGUAAUGUGGUUUCAGCUGAACUAGAGAAGGUGUUCGGAAGAAAACAAAGUGGUGGGAUUUGUACUAAACAAAAUCGAAGCCGAUGUGGGGUUUAUGGGCGGUAAACUGGUUGGUAUUGAAGGUGAAUUGGGGUCCUUAAGCAGCGCAGUGAAGAAGAUGUUGAACUGCAUGAAACGCAAGGCACCUACAUCAUAAGCUCGCGCAGGCACUCCCAGCCCGGAGAAAGGGUCCAAUUCUCACUUGGCUGGUUGGUGGACAUGAAGGAGAGCUACUCAUACAUGGUACUUUUCAGGUCCAAUUCUAUCCCAUACAAGUGUAUAACCAGUUGAGAACGAUCUCCCACAAGUAAGUCGAAAUUUCCACACUUACUACCCAUGUAAAUGAAUUCAUGUUCAUGUGAGAGGUAGACCAUAUGUGAUAGAGGCGGGAAAUAGACAUCUGAGUAUUUGAAUUGAUUGAUAAUAGAAGUUUAAAUAGUAGGUAUAACAUUAUAAGACUGAAUGACUUGGGAACCACCAUUAUGUUGUGCAUUUAUGUAAUUGGGUAUUGCUGUAACUGCAAGAAGAAGUUUGGACAUAGCAACUGGUUGAGGCCAACGAAGAACAAGUAGAUGCAAUCCUGAAAUUUUGGUGGGUGCAGAGUCAGAGAAUUUGUUUUCUAGCAGCUUAAUUGGUGUAAAAGCUAAGCCUUUGAAGCAACGCAAGGCACAACAGAAAGAAUAUGAUGAGACUGACUUGGCAAAGCUUCAGAAGAAGUAAAAGGAAACUUUAUGUUAGGUGGUGCUGGACUAAAGAAAAGUGGAAAGAUCGGAACAAUAUGCUCUAGUAAAGGUAUGAUAACGAGUAUCAAUUAAAAAACAUCAAACACAAAAUUCCACAGAAACUCUUUCUGUAUGUGGAACAAUAAUCCCCAGGGACGGGCCUAGCAAGGGGCUAACCCGGGCUAUAGCCCGUCCCAUGUUUUGGUCGAACAAAAAAAUUUGUAUGCAAAAUUUGGGUGAAUAUGUGUCCAGCCCACCCAAAAUCAGAGUUUGCUAGUGUAGUUUCUAGCCCAAGUAAAUUUUAGCCCAUAACAAGAUAGAUUUAAAAAAGAAUUCAGUUUAAAACAUGAAUCUUCUUCUUCUCACCCUUAGUAGCCAGGAACGUCCAACCACCUCACGAAUCUCAUUCGAAAUCGCGAUUUUGCGUUUCCCACUGAAAUUCGUGAUGGGAACGCGCUCCUGACAUGGAAGAAACGCGCUCCCACUCGUUGAGAAACGUUUCAGUGCAAGGGAAAAAAAAGAAAGGGGAAAAAGCGCAGAGAAAAAGAAAGGGAAGAGGAAAGGGGAAAGAAAGUAUAGUAGAAGAACAGGAAGAAAGAGAGCAAAGAAAAAAGACUGGGAAAAAAAGUACAGAAGAAGCAAGAAAGAAGAAGACGGCUGCGUGAAAAAUAAGAAGAAGAAAAAAAUGUUGUUUUGAAUUAAAACCCUAGAAUUGGCUUGGGUUAUUUUUAAUUAAAAAUGUCUUGUUUUUACCGUGGGCUAAGUUGGAGCCCAUGCUCAAUAUCUUCCCUAUAUUUUCUAUGCACCAAACUAGCUUCCAAAUUCUUGAAGACACAAAAAUAAAAAAGAAAAUGAACGAUAGUGUAGGAAAAUUAGUAGUAUAUCUAAUUUUUCUAUGAACCUAAUUUACGCUCCCGAUAGUGUAGGAAAAUUAGUAGUAUAUCUAAUUUUUCUAUGAACCUAAUUUACGCUCCCGAUACGUUCCA